This is a non-coding RNA of Vicia faba (fava bean), 321 nucleotides long. Lineage: Eukaryota; Viridiplantae; Streptophyta; Magnoliopsida; Fabales; Fabaceae. The record is from the annotation of a GenBank genome assembly.
AUGACGAAUGAAGGUGGUUGCUUUCUGAAGGUUCCCUCAAAGGUUUCAAUAUGUGUGUGGCGGUUGUUGCGUGAUAGGUUGCCUACAAAGGUAAACUUGGUCAACCAUGUGAACUUCGUUUCGUUAUCUUGCAUCACCUUCCAAUCUCUCCCAUAUAUUCUCGAAAAUCACUUUGCGGAAUUUUUUCAAACACCUUGUGUUCUUCUCAAUCGAUCAUUACUGCAAACGCGGAUCGUUGCUGAAAUUGGUUUCGACGAUAAUCAGCUUUUGGAUUGGGCAUGGUUAACACUAUCGAGCUUUGAAGAUUUUUCGUGCUCCUGA